UCUGCAGCCGUCUCCCUCACCCCUAAAUCUGUGAUCUGUGUCUCACGACUUCUCCUUACUCUCUCUCCCGCCCUCUCUCUUGUCUCUGCGCCGAAAACUCUCUCUCAAUCUCUCCGAAACCCUAGCCGUCGUCCCUCUCUAUCUCUCCAAAACUCUAGCCGUCGUCCCUCUCUGUCUCUCCGAAACUCUAGCCGUCGUCUUCAUCCUCUGCCUCAUCGUCAUCCUCUUGCUGAUAUAUUAUAAGACUAAGGUUGGCAUGGAUCGGGCACAAUUUAUGAUACGCACCGUUCAUGGAGUGCCUAUUGACAUACUGUGAAGGUGCUACUAGAUAUUGUUGAGCAUGUUCGGAAGUCGAUUGGAUGAAUCAACUCCUCGACCUUGUCAACAGCACGUAUUACAAAGCUAGUCGAGACUCAAGGAGACGUGCACCCAAGAGAUCAUGGAGUAUCGGUAGGUGAGAAAUUAAUGCAAGAGGCAUCAUACACUGCUAUUCGUAAGGAGAAUGCAGAUAUAAUACGUGCAGAGAGCCAUGCAUAGACAUCAGAGAUGAUCGAUGUAGUGUGUAUGGAGAUCCGAAGUGCCAUCUCUGAUUUACGUACAAAGAUUAAACUGAUUUACGUACAGAGAUUGCUACCAUUUCUGUGACUUAGGUGACGAUCAAUACUCAACUAACAUAGCUAAAGACACACCUAGCUGGAGUCGAGGAUAUGGUUAGAGAUUUGGGUGGAUGGUAGUGUGCAUAUUUUAUUUGCAUUUUUUUUGUAUGGAAAAUAUUAUGUAUUUUGUAAAAUUAAUUUAAUUAUUAAUCAUCUUUUCCUUUUUU
This is a long non-coding RNA of Carya illinoinensis, 823 nucleotides long. RefSeq lists it as uncharacterized. The transcript has 3 exons. The record is from RefSeq and is a predicted model, not a curated record. NCBI's taxonomy places the organism in Eukaryota, Viridiplantae, Streptophyta, Magnoliopsida, Fagales, Juglandaceae.